GAUGAACGCUGACAGAAUGCUUAACACAUGCAAGUCCACUUGAAUUUGGGUUUUUAACUUAGGUUUGGGUGGCGGACGGGUGAGUAACGCGUAAAGAACUUGCCUCACAGCUAGGGACAACAUUUGGAAACGAAUGCUAAUACCUAAUAUUAUGAUAAUAGGGCAUCCUAUAAUUAUGAAAGCUAUAAGCGCUGUGAGAGAGCUUUGCGUCCCAUUAGCUAGUUGGAGAGGUAACGGCUCACCAAGGCGAUGAUGGGUAGCCGGCCUGAGAGGGUGAUCGGCCACAAGGGGACUGAGACACGGCCCUUACUCCUACGGGAGGCAGCAGUGGGGAAUAUUGGACAAUGGACCGAGAGUCUGAUCCAGCAAUUCUGUGUGCACGAUGAAGUUUUUCGGAAUGUAAAGUGCUUUCAGUUGGGAAGAAACAAAUGACGGUACCAACAGAAGAAGUGACGGCUAAAUACGUG
This 467-nucleotide ribosomal RNA is filed under the name uncultured bacterium. Its description in RNAcentral is "partial 16S ribosomal RNA". It matches the Rfam family "Bacterial small subunit ribosomal RNA", at positions 28 to 507 of the family's 1533-position model. The record is from RNAcentral.